This 250-nucleotide ribosomal RNA is filed under the name uncultured bacterium. RNAcentral describes it as "partial 16S ribosomal RNA". It matches the Rfam family "Bacterial small subunit ribosomal RNA", at positions 524 to 773 of the family's 1533-position model. The record is from RNAcentral.
UACAGAGGGGGCAAGCGUUGUUCGGAAUUACUGGGCGUAAAGGGCGCGUAGGCGGCCUGUUAAGUCGGACGUGAAAUCCCUCGGCUCAACCGGGGAACUGCGUCCGAUACUGGCGGGCUUGAAUUCGGGAGAGGGAUGUGGAAUUCCAGGUGUAGCGGUGAAAUGCGUAGAUAUCUGGAGGAACACCGGUGGCGAAGGCGGCAUCCUGGACCGACAUUGACGCUGAGGCGCGAAAGCCAGGGGAGCAAAC